GACGAACGCUGGCGGCGUGCCUAAUACAUGCAAGUUGAGCGCUGAAGGUUGGUACUUGUACCGACUGGAUGAGCAGCGAACGGGUGAGUAACGCGUGGGGAAUCUGCCUUUGAGCGGGGGACAACAUUUGGAAACGAAUGCUAAUACCGCAUAAAAACUUUAAACACAAGUUUUAAGUUUGAAAGAUGCAAUUGCAUCACUCAAAGAUGAUCCCGCGUUGUAUUAGCUAGUUGGUGAGGUAAAGGCUCACCAAGGCGAUGAUACAUAGCCGACCUGAGAGGGUGAUCGGCCACAUUGGGACUGAGACACGGCCCAAACUCCUACGGGAGGCAGCAGUAGGGAAUCUUCGGCAAUGGACGAAAGUCUGACCGAGCAACGCCGCGUGAGUGAAGAAGGGUUUCGGAUCGUAAAAAUCGGUUGGUAGAGAAGAACGUUGGUGAGAGUGGAAAGCGCAUCAAGUGACGGUAACUACCCAGAAAGGGACGGCUAACUACGUG
This 497-nucleotide ribosomal RNA is filed under the name uncultured bacterium. Its description in RNAcentral is "partial 16S ribosomal RNA". It matches the Rfam family "Bacterial small subunit ribosomal RNA", at positions 28 to 507 of the family's 1533-position model. The record is from RNAcentral.